This 62-nucleotide non-coding RNA is filed under the name unclassified sequences. The record is from RNAcentral.
UUUGUAAUGUGGCCUAAAUUUUUAUUUAGAACGUUCCAAGCCGUUAAAACACAGAGGACAAA